GACGAACGCUGGCGGCGUGCCUAAUACAUGCAAGUAGAACGCUGAAGCUUGGUGCUUGCACCGAGCGGAUGAGUUGCGAACGGGUGAGUAACGCGUAGGUAACCUGCCUGGUAGCGGGGGAUAACUAUUGGAAACGAUAGCUAAUACCGCAUAAGAGUAGAUGUUGCAUGACCUUUGCUUAAAAGGUGCAAUUGCAUCACUACCAGAUGGACCUGCGUUGUAUUAGCUAGUUGGUGAGGUAACGGCUCACCAAGGCAACGAUACAUAGCCGACCUGAGAGGGUGGUCGGCCCACCUGGGACUGGGACACGGCCCAGACUCCUACGGGAGGCAGCAGUAGGGAAUCUUCGGCAAUGGACGGAAGUCUGACCGAGCAACGCCGCGUGAGUGAAGAAGGUUUUCGGAUCGUAAAGCUCUGUUGUAAGAGAAGAACGAGUGUGAGAGUGGAAAGUUCACACUGUGACGGUAUCUUACCAGAAAGGGACGGCUAACUACGUG
This 497-nucleotide ribosomal RNA is filed under the name uncultured bacterium. RNAcentral describes it as "partial 16S ribosomal RNA". It matches the Rfam family "Bacterial small subunit ribosomal RNA", at positions 28 to 507 of the family's 1533-position model. The record is from RNAcentral.